Molecule: ribosomal RNA, 448 nt
Filed under: Escherichia coli
Lineage: Bacteria; Pseudomonadati; Pseudomonadota; Gammaproteobacteria; Enterobacterales; Enterobacteriaceae
Description: bacterial SSU rRNA
Rfam family: Bacterial small subunit ribosomal RNA
Source: RNAcentral
AGUUUUCAGAGAUGAGAAUGUGCCUUCGGGAACCGUGAGACAGGUGCUGCAUGGCUGUCGUCAGCUCGUGUUGUGAAAUGUUGGGUUAAGUCCCGCAACGAGCGCAACCCUUAUCCUUUGUUGCCAGCGGUCCGGCCGGGAACUCAAAGGAGACUGCCAGUGAUAAACUGGAGGAAGGUGGGGAUGACGUCAAGUCAUCAUGGCCCUUACGACCAGGGCUACACACGUGCUACAAUGGCGCAUACAAAGAGAAGCGACCUCGCGAGAGCAAGCGGACCUCAUAAAGUGCGUCGUAGUCCGGAUUGGAGUCUGCAACUCGACUCCAUGAAGUCGGAAUCGCUAGUAAUCGUGGAUCAGAAUGCCACGGUGAAUACGUUCCCGGGCCUUGUACACACCGCCCGUCACACCAUGGGAGUGGGUUGCAAAAGAAGUAGGUAGCUUAACCUUU